RNAcentral lists this Y RNA (95 nucleotides) under Aotus nancymaae (Ma's night monkey). RNAcentral describes it as "Y RNA (ENSANAG00000006902.1)". It matches the Rfam family "Y RNA". Rfam says of the family: Y RNAs are components of the Ro ribonucleoprotein particle (Ro RNP), in association with Ro60 and La proteins. The Y RNAs and Ro60 and La proteins are well conserved, but the function of the Ro RNP is not known. In humans the RNA component can be one of four small RNAs -- hY1, hY3, hY4 and hY5. The record is from Rfam by way of RNAcentral. Lineage: Eukaryota; Metazoa; Chordata; Mammalia; Primates; Aotidae.
GGCUGGUCCGAUGGUAGUGGGUUAUCAGAACUUAUUAACAUUAGUGUCACUAAAGUUGGUAUACAACCCCUUGCUGCUAAAUUUGACCAGCAAAA